This 110-nucleotide transfer RNA is filed under the name Cephalotrichum gorgonifer. RNAcentral describes it as "transfer RNA-Asn(GTT)". It matches the Rfam family "tRNA". Rfam says of the family: Transfer RNA (tRNA) molecules are approximately 80 nucleotides in length. Their secondary structure includes four short double-helical elements and three loops (D, anti-codon, and T loops). The record is from RNAcentral. Lineage: Eukaryota; Fungi; Ascomycota; Sordariomycetes; Microascales; Microascaceae.
GGCAGCGUAGCUAAAUGGUAGAGCGCAGCGUUGUUUAAUAGCGUUUGAUUUCCAAAAGCGGUGAUUUCCUGAACAGCGUUGAGAUGUGGGUUCGAAUCCCACCGUUGCCA